RNAcentral lists this ribosomal RNA (491 nucleotides) under uncultured bacterium. RNAcentral describes it as "partial 16S ribosomal RNA". It matches the Rfam family "Bacterial small subunit ribosomal RNA", at positions 29 to 506 of the family's 1533-position model. The record is from RNAcentral.
AGUGAACGCUGGCGGUAGGCCUAACACAUGCAAGUCGAACGGCAGCACAGUAAGAGCUUGCUCUUACGGGUGGCGAGUGGCGGACGGGUGAGGAAUACAUCGGAAUCUACUUUUUCGUGGGGGAUAACGUAGGGAAACUUACGCUAAUACCGCAUACGACCUACGGGUGAAAGCAGGGGAUCUUCGGACCUUGCGCGAUUGAAUGAGCCGAUGUCGGAUUAGCUAGUUGGCGGGGUAAAGGCCCACCAAGGCGACGAUCCGUAGCUGGUCCGAGAGGAUGAUCAGCCACACGGAAACUGGGACACGGUCCAGACUCCUACGGGGGGCAGCGGUGGGAAAUAUUGGACAAUGGGCGCAAGCCUGAUCCAGCCAUACGGCGUGGGUGAAGAAGGCCUUCGGGUUGUAAAGCCCUUUUGUUGGGAAAGAAAAGCAGCAGGUUAAUACCCCGCUGUUCUGACGGUACCCAAAGAAUAAGCACCGGCAAACUUCGU